UCCGGUUUGUCACCGGCAGUCUCCUUAGAGUGCCCUUGCGUAGCAACUAAGGACAAGGGUUGCGCUCGUUGCGGGACUUAACCCAACAUCUCACGACACGAGCUGACGACAGCCAUGCAGCACCUGUGUUCCAAUUCCCUUUCGGGCACAUCAGCCUUUCAGCCGACUCCUGGACAUGUCAAGGGUAGGUAAGGUUGUUCGCGUUGCAUCGAAUUAAUCCACAUCAUCCACCGCUUGUGCGGGUCCCCGUCAAUUCCUUUGAGUUUUAACCUUGCGGCCGUACUCCCCAGGCGGAUCACUUCACGCGUUAGCUACGGUACCAGGAGAUCGCUCCCCCAACACCUAGUGAUCAUCGUUUAGGGCGUGGACUAC
Molecule: unclassified non-coding RNA, 372 nt
Filed under: uncultured Gammaproteobacteria bacterium
Lineage: Bacteria; Pseudomonadati; Pseudomonadota; Gammaproteobacteria
Description: contains 16S-23S intergenic spacer region
Source: RNAcentral